UUUGUUGGAGAGUUUGAUCCUGGCUCAGGGUGAACGCUGGCGGCGUGCCUAAGACAUGCAAGUCGUGCGGGCCGCGGGGUUUUACU
Molecule: ribosomal RNA, 86 nt
Filed under: Thermus thermophilus
Lineage: Bacteria; Thermotogati; Deinococcota; Deinococci; Thermales; Thermaceae
Description: partial 16S ribosomal RNA
Rfam family: Bacterial small subunit ribosomal RNA
Source: RNAcentral